This is a long non-coding RNA of Amphimedon queenslandica, 243 nucleotides long. RefSeq lists it as uncharacterized. NCBI's taxonomy places the organism in Eukaryota, Metazoa, Porifera, Demospongiae, Haplosclerida, Niphatidae. The record is from RefSeq and is a predicted model, not a curated record. The transcript has 2 exons.
GUGUGUUCGCAAUAUGGCGUCUAUUUCUCUGUUUUCAAAUCCUUGCUGCUCCUUGCUUAGGUCCUGUGGAGUCCCACUGUCAACUAAAAUAAUUUCCAAAAGUAGUUUUUCUUCAGUUUACUUCAUAAUCCUUCUUCUCCUUGGCAGCAUGAGCCAGUAGUGUUGCUAAACGUAGUCAGGAUUCCGGGCAAGUCUCUCAUGACGAAGGAAAUUUGUCUUAAAUUCUUAAUUUCUGAGAUAUGG